GACUAUUGACAACAAAUAUCUCAGCUCUCGUAUCGAUGAAGAACGUAGAGAAAUGCGAUACUUGGUGUGAAUUACAGAAUCCCGUGAACCAUCAAAUCUUUGAACGCAAGUUACGCCACAAGCCGUUAGGCCGAGGGCACGCCUGCUUGGGUGUCA
Molecule: ribosomal RNA, 156 nt
Organism: Hibiscus syriacus
Lineage: Eukaryota; Viridiplantae; Streptophyta; Magnoliopsida; Malvales; Malvaceae
Product: 5.8S ribosomal RNA
Exons: 1
Source: RefSeq, a predicted model, not a curated record